UUUAAAAGAAAAACAUAUACCUUGCACGUAUCAACACGAAAGAUAAAAUCCCUUCCAUCCCA
Molecule: transfer RNA, 62 nt
Filed under: Tarsaster alaskanus
Lineage: Eukaryota; Metazoa; Echinodermata; Asteroidea; Forcipulatida; Pedicellasteridae
Description: partial tRNA-Ala
Source: RNAcentral